RNAcentral lists this ribosomal RNA (370 nucleotides) under uncultured bacterium. RNAcentral's name for it is "bacterial SSU rRNA". It matches the Rfam family "Bacterial small subunit ribosomal RNA", at positions 527 to 896 of the family's 1533-position model. The record is from RNAcentral.
GUAGGUGGCAAGCGUUGUCCGGAUUUAUUGGGCGUAAAGCGAACGCAGGCGGGAAGAUAAGUCAGCUGUGAAAGCCCUCGGCUCAACCGGGGAACGGCAACUGAAACUAUUUUUCUUGAGUGCAGAAGAGGAGAGUGGAACUCCAUGUGUAGCGGUGGAAUGCGUAGAUAUAUGGAAGAACACAGUGGCGAAGGCGGCUCUCUGGUCUGUAACUGACGCUGAGGUUCGAAAGCAUGGGUAGCGAACAGGAUUAGAUACCCUGGUAGUCCAUGCCGUAAACGAUGAGUGCUAAGUGUUGGGAGGUUUCCGCCUCUCAGUGCUGCAGCUAACGCAUUAAGCACUCCGCCUGGGGAGUACGACCGCAAGGUUA